Molecule: transfer RNA, 74 nt
Filed under: Chromatiaceae bacterium
Lineage: Bacteria; Pseudomonadati; Pseudomonadota; Gammaproteobacteria; Chromatiales; Chromatiaceae
Description: tRNA-Gln
Rfam family: tRNA
About the family: Transfer RNA (tRNA) molecules are approximately 80 nucleotides in length. Their secondary structure includes four short double-helical elements and three loops (D, anti-codon, and T loops). Further hydrogen bonds mediate the characteristic L-shaped molecular structure. tRNAs have two regions of fundamental functional importance: the anti-codon, which is responsible for specific mRNA codon recognition, and the 3' end, to which the tRNAs corresponding amino acid is attached (by aminoacyl-tRNA synthetases). tRNAs cope with the degeneracy of the genetic code in two manners: having more than one tRNA (with a specific anti-codon) for a particular amino acid; and 'wobble' base-pairing, i.e. permitting non-standard base-pairing at the 3rd anti-codon position.
Source: RNAcentral
UGGGGAAUCGUCCAACGGCAGGACUACGGUCUCUGACACCGUCAAUCCAGGUUCGAAUCCUGGUUCCCCAGCCA